This 400-nucleotide unclassified non-coding RNA is filed under the name soil metagenome. RNAcentral's name for it is "partial contains 5.8S ribosomal RNA, internal transcribed spacer 2, and large subunit ribosomal RNA". The stretch from base 1 to 120 matches the Rfam family "5.8S ribosomal RNA", at positions 35 to 154 of the family's 154-position model. The record is from RNAcentral.
GAUGAAGAACGUAGCGAAAUGCGAUACUUGGUGUGAAUUGCAGAAUCCCGUUAACCAUCGAGUCUUUGAACGCAAGUUGCGCCCGAAGCCUCGGCUAAGGGCACGUCUGCCUGGGCGUCACGCAUCGCGUCUCCCCCAAACCGCCAAGGCGGAGGGGAAGGAAGAUGGCUUCCCGUGCCUCACCCGGGCGCGGUUGGCCUAAAUUUGGAGCCCGCGGCACUUAGCUCUCGCGGCGAUAGGUGGUGAACAAGGCCUUGGCCGUGCAAACAACCCGCUGCGAAGCUCUAUGUCACGUGCGCUCGUCGGACCCUUUGAAGUUGCCUUUGGUGACUUAAAACCUUUGCGACCCCAGGUCAGGCGGGGCUACCCGCUGAAUUUAAGCAUAUCAAUAAGCGGAGGA